CUGCCGGGCAGGGAUUUACAAAGGCCCGUACUUCUGCAUCAAUCAUUCUGCGAGGAGCAAAUGAUUUCAUGUGUGAUGAGAUGGAGCGCUCCCUACAUGAUGCACUCUGUGUUGUGAAGAGAGUGCUUGAGUCCAAGUCUUUAGUUCCAGGAGGUGGGGCUGUGGAAGCUGCACUCUCCAUCUACCUGGAAAACUAUGCAACUAGUUUGGGAUCACGUGAACAACUUGCCAUUGCAGAAUUUGCCCGGGCCAUGUUGAUUAUUCCUAGACUCUGGCAGUGAAUGCUGCUCAGGAUUCUACAGACCUUGUUGCAAAGUUGCGUGCAUUCCACAACGAAGCUCAGGUCAAUCCUGAUCGCAAAACUUUGAAAUGGAUUGGUCUUGAUUUAUUGAAUAGGAAGCCAAGGGACAACAAACAAGCUGGUGUCUUUGAGCCUACUAUGGUUAAAGUCAAGAGUCUGAAGUUUGCAACAGAAGCUGCUAUAACCAUCCUGCGAAUUGAUGAUCUCAUCAAACUUUACCCAGAUGAAAAGCAAGACAAAGGAGUUACCAAGAUGCAGUUCAAAGUGGAGAGCUUAAUGGCUGAAGCACCUGAGUUCUAAAAUCAGCUAUUAUAAUUUAUGUUUAACUCUUGGCAUCCAUCAGGUGCUUCUUGUACUUCUGUUCUAGAUUGAGCAGCUUGUCAUACUUGUCUGAAAUUCAGUGCCACUUGUUUAGUGCUCUGUUUAAUUUACU
Long non-coding RNA from Callorhinchus milii (elephant shark), 734 nucleotides. RefSeq lists it as uncharacterized. The transcript has 4 exons. The record is from RefSeq and is a predicted model, not a curated record. NCBI's taxonomy places the organism in Eukaryota, Metazoa, Chordata, Chondrichthyes, Chimaeriformes, Callorhinchidae.